GGGUUGUGAGGUUAAGCGACUAAGCGUACACGGUGGAUGCCCUGGCAGUCAGAGGCGAUGAAGGACGUGCUAAUCUGCGAAAAGCGUCGGUAAGGUGAUAUGAACCGUUACAGCCGGCGAUGUCCGAAUGGGGAAACCCAGUGUGAUUCGUCACACUAUCGUUAACUGAAUACAUAGGUUAACGAGGCGAACCGGGGGAACUGAAACAUCUAAGUACCCCGAGGAAAAGAAAUCAACCGAGAUUCCCCCAGUAGCGGCGAGCGAACGGGGAGCAGCCCAGAGUCUGAAUCAGCUUGUGUGUUAGUGGAACGGUCUGGAAAGUCCGACGGUACAGGGUGAUAGUCCCGUACACCAAAAUGCACAGGCUGUGAACUCGAAGAGUAGGGCGGGACACGUGGUAUCCUGUCUGAAUAUGGGGGGACCAUCCUCCAAGGCUAAAUACUCCUGACUGACCGAUAGUGAACCAGUACCGUGAGGGAAAGGCGAAAAGAACCCCGGCGAGGGGAGUGAAAAAGAACCUGAAACCGUGUACGUACAAGCAGUGGGAGCACCUUUAUGGUGUGACUGCGUACCUUUUGUAUAAUGGGUCAGCGACUUAUAUUCUGUAGCAAGGUUAACCGUAUAGGGGAGCCGCAGGGAAACCGAGUCUUAACUGGGCGUUAAGUUGCAGGGUAUAGACCCGAAACCCGGUGAUCUAGCCAUGGGCAGGUUGAAGGUUGGGUAACACUAACUGGAGGACCGAACCGACUAAUGUUGAAAAAUUAGCGGAUGACUUGUGGCUGGGGGUGAAAGGCCAAUCAAACCGGGAGAUAGCUGGUUCUCCCCGAAAGCUAUUUAGGUAGCGCCUCGUGAAUUCAUCUUCGGGGGUAGAGCACUGUUUCGGCUAGGGGGUCAUCCCGACUUACCAACCCGAUGCAAACUACGAAUACCGAAGAAUGUUAUCACGGGAGACACACGGCGGGUGCUAACGUCCGUCGUGAAGAGGGAAACAACCCAGACCGCCAGCUAAGGUCCCAAAGUCACAGUUAAGUGGGAAACGAUGUGGGAAGGCACAGACAGCCAGGAUGUUGGCUUAGAAGCAGCCAUCAUUUAAAGAAAGCGUAAUAGCUCACUGGUCGAGUCGGCCUGCGCGGAAGAUGUAACGGGGCUAAACUGUGCACCGAAGCUGCGGCAGCGACACUAUGUGUUGUUGGGUAGGGGAGCGUUCUGUAAGCCUGCGAAGGUGGCCUGUGAGGGUUGCUGGAGGUAUCAGAAGUGCGAAUGCUGACAUAAGUAACGAUAAUGCGGGUGAAAAGCCCGCACGCCGGAAGACCAAGGGUUCCUGUCCAACGUUAAUCGGGGCAGGGUGAGUCGACCCCUAAGGCGAGGCCGAAAGGCGUAGUCGAUGGGAAACAGGUUAAUAUUCCUGUACUUGGUGUUACUGCGAAGGGGGGACGGAGAAGGCUAUGUUAGCCGGGCGACGGUUGUCCCGGUUUAAGCAUGUAGGCGGAGGUUCCAGGUAAAUCCGGUACCUUUUAACGCUGAGGUGUGAUGACGAGGCACUACGGUGCUGAAGUAACAAAUGCCCUGCUUCCAGGAAAAGCCUCUAAGCAUCAGGUAACAUUGAAUCGUACCCCAAACCGACACAGGUGGUCAGGUAGAGAAUACCAAGGCGCUUGAGAGAACUCGGGUGAAGGAACUAGGCAAAAUGGUGCCGUAACUUCGGGAGAAGGCACGCUGAUAUGUAGGUGAAGCCCCUGCGGGUGGAGCUGAAAUCAGUCGAAGAUACCAGCUGGCUGCAACUGUUUAUUAAAAACACAGCACUGUGCAAACACGAAAGUGGACGUAUACGGUGUGACGCCUGCCCGGUGCCGGAAGGUUAAUUGAUGGGGUUAUCCGUAAGGAGAAGCUCUUGAUCGAAGCCCCGGUAAACGGCGGCCGUAACUAUAACGGUCCUAAGGUAGCGAAAUUCCUUGUCGGGUAAGUUCCGACCUGCACGAAUGGCGUAAUGAUGGCCAGGCUGUCUCCACCCGAGACUCAGUGAAAUUGAACUCGCUGUGAAGAUGCAGUGUACCCGCGGCAAGACGGAAAGACCCCGUGAACCUUUACUAUAGCUUGACACUGAACAUUGAGCCUUGAUGUGUAGGAUAGGUGGGAGGCUUUGAAGCGUGGACGCCAGUCUGCGUGGAGCCAACCUUGAAAUACCACCCUUUAAUGUUUGAUGUUCUAACGUUGGCCCCUGACCGGGGUUGCGGACAGUGUCUGGUGGGUAGUUUGACUGGGGCGGUCUCCUCCCAAAGAGUAACGGAGGAGCACGAAGGUUAGCUAAUCCUGGUCGGACAUCAGGAGGUUAGUGCAAUGGCAUAAGCUAGCUUGACUGCGAGCGUGACGGCGCGAGCAGGUGCGAAAGCAGGUCAUAGUGAUCCGGUGGUUCUGAAUGGAAGGGCCAUCGCUCAACGGAUAAAAGGUACUCCGGGGAUAACAGGCUGAUACCGCCCAAGAGUUCAUAUCGACGGCGGUGUUUGGCACCUCGAUGUCGGCUCAUCACAUCCUGGGGCUGAAGUAGGUCCCAAGGGUAUGGCUGUUCGCCAUUUAAAGUGGUACGCGAGCUGGGUUUAGAACGUCGUGAGACAGUUCGGUCCCUAUCUGCCGUGGGCGCUGGAGAAUUGAGGGGGGCUGCUCCUAGUACGAGAGGACCGGAGUGGACGCAUCACUGGUGUUCGGGUUGUCAUGCCAAUGGCAUUGCCCGGUAGCUAAAUGCGGAAGAGAUAAGUGCUGAAAGCAUCUAAGCACGAAACUUGCCCCGAGAUGAGUUCUCCCUGAGACUUUAAGUCUCCUGAAGGAACGUUAAAGACGAUGACGUUGAUAGGUCGGGUGUGUAAGCGUAGCGAUACGUUGAGCUAACCGAUACUAAUGAACCGUGAGGCUUAACCUUACAACGCCGAAG
Molecule: ribosomal RNA, 2926 nt
Filed under: Klebsiella aerogenes
Lineage: Bacteria; Pseudomonadati; Pseudomonadota; Gammaproteobacteria; Enterobacterales; Enterobacteriaceae
Description: bacterial LSU rRNA
Rfam family: Bacterial large subunit ribosomal RNA
Source: RNAcentral